Molecule: ribosomal RNA, 119 nt
Filed under: Triticum aestivum (bread wheat)
Lineage: Eukaryota; Viridiplantae; Streptophyta; Magnoliopsida; Poales; Poaceae
Source: RNAcentral
GGAUGCGAUCAUACCAGCACUAAAGCACCGGAUCCCAUCAGAACUCCGAAGUUAAGCGUGCUUGGGCGAGAGUAGUACUAGGAUGGGUGACCUCCUGGUAAGUCCUAGUGUUGCAUUCC